RNAcentral lists this ribosomal RNA (468 nucleotides) under uncultured bacterium. RNAcentral's name for it is "partial 16S ribosomal RNA". It matches the Rfam family "Bacterial small subunit ribosomal RNA", at positions 28 to 507 of the family's 1533-position model. The record is from RNAcentral.
GACGAACGCUGGCGGCGUGCCUAACACAUGCAAGUCGAACGGAAAGGCCCUGCUUUUGUGGGGUGCUCGAGUGGCGAACGGGUGAGUAACACGUGAGUAACCUGUCCUUGACUUUGGGAGAACUUCAGGCAACUGGGGCUCAUACCGGAUAGGAGCUAUUGCUGCAUGGUGGGGGUUGGUAAGUUUCGGCGGUUGGGGAUGGACUCGCGGCUUAUCGGCUUGUUGGUGGGGUAGUGGCUUACCAAGGCUUUGACGGGUAGCCGGCCUGGGAGGGGGACCGGCCACAUUGGAACUGAGAUACGGCACAGACUCGAACGGUAGGCAACGGAGGAGAGUAUUACACAGUGGGCUGAAGCCUGAUGUGGCAACGCCGCGUGCGGGAUGACGUCCUGCGGGUUGUGAACCGCUUUCGCCUUUGACGAAGCGUGAGUGACGGUAAUGGGUAAAGAAGCACCGGCUAACUACGUG